Molecule: ribosomal RNA, 517 nt
Filed under: uncultured Halobacteriales archaeon
Lineage: Archaea; Methanobacteriati; Methanobacteriota; Halobacteria; Halobacteriales
Description: bacterial SSU rRNA
Rfam family: Archaeal small subunit ribosomal RNA
Source: RNAcentral
GCGCGAAACCUUUACAAUGCACGCAAGUGUGAUAAGGGAAUCCCAAGUGCUCAAGCAUUGCUUGGGCUUUUGCUAUGUGUAAAUAGCAUGGCGAAUAAGUGGUGGGAAAGACUGGUGCCAGCCGCCGCGGUAACACCAGCGCCACGAGUGGCAAUCACGUUUAUUGGGCCUAAAGCGUCCGUAGCAGGUUUUGUAAAUUUCUUGUGAAAUUGCCAGGCUUAACUUGGCAGAGUGCAGGAAACACUGCAAAACUAGAGACCGGGAGGGGUUAGAGGUAUUCCUUAGGGAGCGGUAAAAUGCUAUAAUCUAAGGAGGACCACCUGUGGCGAAGGCGUCUAACUAGAACGGAUCUGACUGUGAGGGACGAAAGCUAGGGGAGCGAACCGGAUUAGAUACCCGAGUAGUCCUAGCCGUAAACGCUGUGAGCUAGGUGUCGCGUAUUCUACGUGAAUGCGCGGUGUCGAAAGGAGCUAUUAAGCUCACCGCCUGGGAAGUACGGUCGCAAGACGUGUAAACG